This 253-nucleotide ribosomal RNA is filed under the name uncultured bacterium. RNAcentral describes it as "partial 16S ribosomal RNA". It matches the Rfam family "Bacterial small subunit ribosomal RNA", at positions 524 to 776 of the family's 1533-position model. The record is from RNAcentral.
UACGGAGGGUGCAAGCGUUAAUCGGAAUUACUGGGCGUAAAGCGCACGCAGGCGGUUAGAUAAGCUAGAUGUGAGAGCCCCGAGCUCAACUUGGGAACUGCAUUUAGAACUGUCUGACUAGAGUCUUGUAGAGGGGGGUAGAAUUCCAGGUGUAGCGGUGAAAUGCGUAGAGAUCUGGAGGAAUACCGGUGGCGAAGGCGGCCCCCUGGACAAAGACUGACGCUCAGGUGCGAAAGCGUGGGGAGCAAACAGG